This 744-nucleotide ribosomal RNA is filed under the name Limosilactobacillus fermentum. RNAcentral describes it as "bacterial SSU rRNA". It matches the Rfam family "Bacterial small subunit ribosomal RNA", at positions 84 to 813 of the family's 1533-position model. Lineage: Bacteria; Bacillati; Bacillota; Bacilli; Lactobacillales; Lactobacillaceae. The record is from RNAcentral.
GUCGCCAACGAGUGGCGGACGGGUGAGUAACACGUAGGUAACCUGCCCAGAAGCGGGGGACAACAUUUGGAAACAGAUGCUAAUACCGCAUAACAACGUUGUUCGCAUGAACAACGCUUAAAAGAUGGCUUCUCGCUAUCACUUCUGGAUGGACCUGCGGUGCAUUAGCUUGUUGGUGGGGUAAUGGCCUACCAAGGCGAUGAUGCAUAGCCGAGUUGAGAGACUGAUCGGCCACAAUGGGACUGAGACACGGCCCAUACUCCUACGGGAGGCAGCAGUAGGGAAUCUUCCACAAUGGGCGCAAGCCUGAUGGAGCAACACCGCGUGAGUGAAGAAGGGUUUCGGCUCGUAAAGCUCUGUUGUUAAAGAAGAACACGUAUGAGAGUAACUGUUCAUACGUUGACGGUAUUUAACCAGAAAGUCACGGCUAACUACGUGCCAGCAGCCGCGGUAAUACGUAGGUGGCAAGCGUUAUCCGGAUUUAUUGGGCGUAAAGAGAGUGCAGGCGGUUUUCUAAGUCUGAUGUGAAAGCCUUCGGCUUAACCGGAGAAGUGCAUCGGAAACUGGAUAACUUGAGUGCAGAAGAGGGUAGUGGAACUCCAUGUGUAGCGGUGGAAUGCGUAGAUAUAUGGAAGAACACCAGUGGCGAAGGCGGCUACCUGGUCUGCAACUGACGCUGAGACUCGAAAGCAUGGGUAGCGAACAGGAUUAGAUACCCUGGUAGUCCAUGCCGUAAACGAUGAG